UCACAUACCAAGCUAGAGUUCAAUUAGAAAGUUGGAGAUCAGUAACUCCAGAACACUGGCCAGAGGGUCAGAAGAGCUGACUCGUGGACAUUCUCAUUGCGGGCGCAGGUCAGUUGCCGUGAUGCUCCUUGAGUCAAUGAGCUCUUUGGUCUGCUCUUCUGCUCAAGCAGAAAAUGAUCUGCGCUUCACCCUUGAGAAGCUGACAAGAACCACAGGCUUCUUCAGGCUCUAGCCUGAUUUUCUGGCUCAUAAGGCCAAAGGGAGCUGGAAAGGUCCCCACGGCAGGACUCAUGGUGGAGAGAGAAUGAUCUAGAGGAUUCAGGCCUCUGCACACUGUGUCUGGGUCCCUCCUUAAAGAAUGAUAAAGACAAGUAAAGAGCUUGAAGCAGCCUGGAGUCCAGCCAGAAACCUUUAACUGAGCUUUAAAGGAGAUGGUCACAACACUUUUCAGAAUACUGGCAAAGGCCUCCUGUGGCCAAGUUUGUCCUGGGAUGAGCAAAAUUUAAUGUUAACCUGCUGUAUCUUUGCUUUUAAUAUAUCUGCUUGCCCAUCACAAUGAUAUUAUGGUUAAUUUCACCAAUUUGGUAACCUGCCUCUUGGGAAGUACGAAAGUAAGCAAGGGCCAGGUAUGGUGACUCACGCCUGUAAUCCCAGUACUUUGGGUGGCUGAGGUGGGUGGAUUGCUU
This 686-nucleotide long non-coding RNA is filed under the name Homo sapiens (human). RNAcentral's name for it is "HSALNT0357740". Lineage: Eukaryota; Metazoa; Chordata; Mammalia; Primates; Hominidae. The record is from RNAcentral.